CGAUCUUGGCUCACUGCAACCUUCGCCUCCCAGGUUCAAACGAUUCUCCUGCCUCAGCCUCCCAAGUAGCUGGGAUUAUAGGCAUCUGCCACCAUGCCCAGCUGAUUUUUUGUAUUUUUAGUAGAGAUGGGGUUUCACUAUGUUGGCCAGGCUGGUCUCAAACUCCUGACCUCAUGAUCUACCCCCCUCGGCCUCCCAAACUUUUUGACUUUUAAUGAUAGCCAUUCUGACUGGUGUGAGAUGGUAUCUCAUUGUGGGUUUGAUUUGCAUUUCUCUAAUGAUUAGUAAUGUUCAUUUUUUCAUAAGCUUGUUGGCCAUGUAUAUGACUUCUUUUGAGAAGUGUCUGUUCAUGUCCUUUGCCCAUUUUUAAAAGGGUUUUUGCUUGUUAAUUUGUUUAAGUUCCUUAUAGGUUCUGGUUAUUAGACCUUUGUUGGACACAUAGUUUGCAAAUAUUUUCUCUCAUUCUGUAGGUUGUUUGUUUACUGUGUUGGUAGUUUCUUUUGCUGUGCAGAGGCUCUUUAGUUUAAUUAGGUCCCAUUUGUCAAUUUUUGUUUUUGUUGCAAUUGCUUUUGUUAUCUUUGUCAUGAAAUCUUUGGCAGGGCCUAUGUCUAGAAUGGUAUUCCCUAGGUUUUCUUUUAGGAUUUUGUAGUUUUGGUUUUACAUUUAAGUCUUCAAUCCACCUUGAGUUGAUUUUUGUAUAUGGUGAAAUGAAGAGGUCCGGUUUCAAUCUUCUGCAUAUGGGUAGCCAGUUAUCCCAGCACCAUUUAUUGACUAGGAUGUCUUUUCCCCAUUACUUGUUUCUGUUGACUUUGUUGAAGAUCAGAUGGUUGUAGGUGUGUGGCUUUAUUUCUGGGCUCUCUAUUCUGUUCCAUUGGUCUAUAUGUCUGUUUCUGUACCACACCGUGCUGUUUUUUGUUACUGUAGCUCUCUAGGAAAGUUUGAAGUCAGGUAAUGUAAUGCCUCCAGCUUUGUUCUUUUUGCUUAGGAUUGCUUUGACUAUUUGGGCUCUUUCUUGGAUCCAUAUGAAUUUUAGAAUUGUUUCUUCUAAUUCUUUAAAAAGGUAAUUUGUAGUGUGAUAGGAAUAGCAUUGAAUCUGUAAAUUGAUUUGGGCAGUAUGGCCAUUUUAACAAUAUUGAUUCUUCCUAUCUAUGAGCAUGAAAUGUUUUUUCAUCUGUUUGUGUCAUCUCUAAAUUCUUUGAGCAUUGUUUUGUAAUUCUCAUUGUAGAGAUCUUUCGCCUCACUGGGGUUGAGAAUUACAAAACUCUCCUUGGUUAGGGAGGUGAAAGAUAUUUUACUGAAAGAGAUUUGAAAAUGCCUAGGUAUUUUAUUUUUUUCUGUGUGCGUGGCUAUUACGAAUGGGCUUGCAUUCUUGAUUUGACUCUCAGCUUGGACGUUGUUUGUGUAUAGAAAUGCUACUAAUUUUUGUACAUUGAGUUUUUAUCCUGAAACUUUCUUAAAGUUGUUUGUCUUGAAUCUGUAAGAGCUUUUGGGCAGAGACUAUGAGGUUUUCUACAUAUAAAAUCAUAUUGUCUGAAAACAGAGAUAGUUUGACUUCCUCUCUUCCUAUUUGAAUGCUUUUUAUUUCUUUCUCUUGCCUGAUUGCUCUGGCUAGUACUUCCAGUACCAUAUUGAAUAGGAGUGGUGAGAGUGGUCAUCCUUGUCUUAUUCCAGUUUUCAGUGGGAGAGAGAGGGAGAAUUCAGAGGGAGAGAGAGACAGAGUGGGAGAGAGAGAAUCAUAUUUAAAGUGUACGAUUUAAUAAGUUUUGACACAUAUCCAUUGGCCCCCCCCAAAAUAUCCUCAUGACCCUUGUCAGUCCUUCCUCCUGACACUUCUCACCCCCAUCCCCGGGCAGCCACUGACUUGCUUUUUGUCACUAUAGAAUAGUGAGCAUUUUCUAGAGUAAGUGGAAUCACACCAUAUAUACUAUAUGUACUCCUUUUGUUUGACUUUUUCCACUGAGCAUAAUAAUUUUGAGGUUCACCCAUGUUGUGUGAAUCAGUAGCUCAUAUCUUUUUAUUGAGAAGUCAUAUUCCAUUGUAUAGAUAUGCUACAGUUAGUUUAUCCAUUCACCUGUUGAUAGAUAUUUUGUUUAUUCCCAACUUUUGCCUAUUGCAGAUAAAGCUUUAUGAAUGAUCAGGUAUAAGACAUUUAUGAACACAUGAUUUCUUUUCUCUUAGGAAUAUACCUAGGAGUGGAAUGCCUGAGUCAUAUUAUGGGUGUGUAAGAUUACUUUUUAAGAAACUGGCCAAUUGUUUUCUAAAGUCAUUGCACCACUUUUUUUUUUUUUUUGAGAUGCAGUUUUGCUCUUGUUGCCCAGGCUGGAGUGUACUGGUGUGAUCUCAGCUCACUGCAACCUCCGCCUCCUGGGUUCAAGCAAUUCUCCUGCCUCAGUCUCCUGAGAAACUGGGAUUAUAGGCGCCUGCCACCACACCUGGCUAAUUUUUUUUUUUUGUAUUUUUAGUGGAGACAGCAUUUCGCCAUGUUGGCCAGGCUGGUCUUGAACUCCUGGCCUCAGGUGAUCUGCCUGUCUUGGCCUCCCAAAGUGCUGGGAUUACAGGCGUGAGCCACUGAGCCCGGCCAAUUGCACCAUUUUAUAUACCACCAGUCCCUCCACAUCUUCACCAACACUCAGUGUGUUCAGUGUAUUUAAUUUUAGCCAUUCUAAUAAUCCUUUUUAGUGCUGCAUAAUAUUUCCAUGAUAUGAGUAUACCAAUAUGAGUAUCCCUACUGAUGCACUUUUACCUCUCUUCCUAUGUUUUUGCCUCUAGAAACAAUUCUGCAAAACCAGACUAUACUAACUGGAGCUUUUAUUGCCAUGAGACGGAGUCUUUGGAAUAGGGUUGAUGCAUUAAAGUGUAUAAAUAUUUUAAAAUAAAAUAAAUCCUAUUGAGAGCUUUCUUAAAAGGCUGUAAUAAUUUACAUUUACCAGCAAUGCAUUAAAGCAUCUUUUGCGUUUCUUCCCAACCUCACCACUAUUUUUUUUUUUUUUUUUUUUUUUGAGAUGGAGUUUUGCUCUUGUUGCCCAGGCUGGAGUGCAAUGGCGCGAUCUUGGCUCACUGCAACCUCCGCCUCCCGGAUUCAAGCGAUUCUCCUGCCUCAGCCUCCGGAGUAGCUGGGAUUACAGGCAUGUGCCACCACACCCGGCCUUUUGUAUUUUUAGUCGAGAUGGGGUUUCUCCAUGUUGGUCAGGCUGAUCUCGACCUCCAGACCUCAGCUCACCCCUAAUUUUUGUCAAUAGUAUAUAACUUUUUACAAUGCUUUCAAGUUGUUUUGAUUUUCAUUUCCUUCAUUAUGAAGUGAAUUUUUUUCACAUGUGUAUUGGCCAUUGAUUGUUCAUCUGUGAACAGUCUAAGGAUGUUGCACAUUUUUAUUUUUGUGAGUUUUUUUGGUAACAUAGAUUUUAAAAUUUCAUCUUAAUUUUUUUUUUUUUCAUUAGAGAUGAGGUCUCACUCUGUUACCCAAGCUGGAUUUCAGUGGUGCAAUCAGAUCUCACUGCAGCCUACAACUCCUGGGCUCAAGAGAAAAAUUUAUUUUUUUAUCUUUAAAUUUGUUUAUGGCAUCUUUGCCAUAUUAAACACUUUAAAGCCAUCUUUUCUUUUAUAACUUCUGGCUUCAUGUCUUGGUUAAGAAAGUACAUUCAACUCUUGGCUUGUACAUAUAAUCUCCUGUAUUUUGUCUUAAGAUUUUCAUGUUAUUUUUUUACAGACACAAAUUCAAUCCUUCUUGGAUUUUAUUUUAUUUUUUAUUUUUUUAGAUGGAGUCUUGCUCUGUUGCCAGGCUGGAGUGCAGUGGUGCGAUCUCGGCUCACUACAACCUCCGUCUCCCGGGAUAAAGCGAUUCUCCUGUCUCAGCCUCCCAAGUAGCUGGGACUACAGGCGGGCACCACCACGGUCAGCUAAUUUUUGUGUUUUUAGUAUAGAUGGGGUUUCACCAUGUUGGUCAGGAUGGUCUCGAUCUCUUGACUUCGUGAUCCACCUGUCUCAGCCUCCCAAAGUGUUGGGAUUACAGUGUGAGUCACUGUGCCCGGCCUCUUGGAUUUUUAUGUAGUGUGAGGUAGCAGCCCAGCUUUACUUUCUUCUAAUUGGAAAGCUGUUUUUUCCUCACCACUUAACUAAAUAACCAAUUUUCCUCUGCUUUUUCAUACAUUUAUUCCCAUUAUUAACUAGGAUUCAUUAUGUACUAUGUAUAUUGUCCUACUGAUUUAUUUGUGUGUUUUAUGCCGAUGCCAGACUAACUUAUGUUCAGGCAUUUUUUUUCCGCACAAGGGAGCCUGAAGAAAGCAUAUCUAAUUCCACACACAAAAACAACAGAUUUCAAUUGGAAUUUAAUUAUGUAUAUAUCCAUUUUGGAAGAAUGUAUAUCUUCAUAGUGGUAAGUAUUUUCAUACCAGAACAUGGUCUGUUUUUCUGUUUGUUCAGGUCUUGUUUCAUGUUUUUCAAUAUGGUUGAGCUAUAUUUAUAGUUAAGUAUAUCAUGAAUAUAUAUAUAUAAGAGUAUAUGUACAGCAUAAAGCUCAAUAAAGCCAUACCCAGUUUAAGGAGUAGAGCAUUGCCCUUCGAAGCUUCCCAUCCCACCUCCAUGAGUUCCUCUCCCUGUCGCUAGGGUAUUAUUACUAUCCUCUCUUUUGUGUUAAUCAUUCACUUUCUUUCUUUUUCUUUUUUUUGAGAUAGGGUGUUGCUCCAUUGCCUAGGCUGGAGUGCAGUGGUGCAAUCAUAGCUCACUGCAGCCUUGACCUCCUGGGCUCAAACGAUCCUCCCACUUUGGACUUUUGUGUAGCAAGAUCACCUUGUGCACCACCUCACCUGGCCAAUUUUUUUUUUUUUUUUGUAGAGAUAGGGCCUCACUGUUUUGCCCAGGCUGGUCUCGAACUCCUGUCCUCAGGAAUCCUUCUGCUCUGGCCUCCCAAAGAGUUUGGAUUACAGGCAAAUGCCUCUUAUUGUUUACAUUAUGAAGUCUCAACUUGGAUGGAAGCCCAACUGCAACACGGCCUCCUAAAAUGAGACGCAACUGUUCAACUGAACUGUUCUCAGGACUAAAAGGCUGUGUCAAUAAGAUACGGGGAAUAUUUGUUCUUCUGUGUGUUCCGAUCCUUGUUUUUCUUUCCCUUCGUUGAUCUCUUGUUUCACAACUUCCAACCCAAAUCUGCUCACAGCUACUAACUUGGCUUUUAACAUAUGAAACUUUCUAAAAGUAAAGUUUCAAAUGGGGAAUGAAGAGGCUCAGAAUACACUACCCCAAAACAUGUCACUCAGAACACAUCAUCCCCAAAUAUGCCACUUUGGCAUCAGAAUUAUUUUAAACUAAAGGCACAUAAAAACAGGAGAUGCAAGAAGAUCACUCUGACCUUCACUGUUCUUUAAAAGCCAGAGAUGAAAUUCCCAUGUGAAAGGUGUUCUCCCUAAACCAAGAAGAAAGUAACAUUCUCAUCACAAAGGAUAGGAAGUUGAGGCUGAUAGGAAUCUAUACAAGCAUCCCUUAUGUUCCUAAUUACUUAUUUACCCAGUUAUUUACCCUAGCAUAAGCCCCUUUGCCUUGUUACAUUUUCACAAUUCAGGGCAUAAAUGUUUGACUCUAGCUGCUGCUUUGUGUCUUCAUUUCCUUAUGAAUGCUCUCCUGCCAUUAAAAAACUUGCAUUAAAUAAUUUAUAUACUUUUCUCCUGUUGAUUUGUCUUAUGUCUAUUUAAUUCUCCAGGCCCAGGCAACAAACAAACAAACAAGAAAACAAAACAAAAACAAAAAACCCCCAACAACAACAACAACAAAACCAUAAAAGAGGAGGGGCAAAUUUUUGCCUCCUCUUCUGCAUUUUUCACAUGCUUUAUCCUGUUUUCACUUCUUUACUUUCUGGCACUAUAAGGUGUUCCAGGCUCAUCUUAUAUUUAUUUUCCCUAUCCUAGCCCUGGAAUCAGCCACUUCUACACUUCUUGAAGGAGUCCUGGUUCCUUUCAUCAGGGAACGGCAUUUCGAAAUCAAGAUCUGAGUGCUGGCUGUGCUCAUUGCUACUGGUGUCACUGCUCAUAGUCUCCUCUCUCUCAGUGGGCAGAGCUAGGCUUUGGUACUCAAUGAAAUAAAAGAGGGCACAAACAAAU
This 6089-nucleotide long non-coding RNA is filed under the name Homo sapiens (human). Its description in RNAcentral is "HSALNT0344104". Lineage: Eukaryota; Metazoa; Chordata; Mammalia; Primates; Hominidae. The record is from RNAcentral.